UUACGGCCAUAUCGAGUUGAAAAACCGCUUCUGGUACGAUUGCCGAAGUUAAGUCACGUCGUGCCUGGUCAGUACCUAGAUAAGUGACCGUUUAGGAAUAUCAGGUGCUGUAAG
This is a non-coding RNA of Acanthosepion pharaonis, 114 nucleotides long. Lineage: Eukaryota; Metazoa; Mollusca; Cephalopoda; Sepiida; Sepiidae. The record is from the annotation of a GenBank genome assembly.